UACGGGGGGGGUAAGCGUUGUUCGGAAUUACUGGGCGUAAAGGGCUCGUAGGCGGCCAACUAAGUCAUACGUGAAAUCCCUCAGCUUAACUGGGGAACUGCGUGUGAUACUGGAUGGCUUGGAUUUGGGAGAGGGAUGCGGAAUUCCAGGUGUAGCGGUGAAAUUCGUAGAUAUUCGGAGGAACACCAGUGGCGAAGGCGGCUCACUGGUCCGGUACUGACGCUGAGGUGCGAAAGCGUGGGGAGCAAACAGG
RNAcentral lists this ribosomal RNA (253 nucleotides) under uncultured bacterium. RNAcentral's name for it is "partial 16S ribosomal RNA". It matches the Rfam family "Bacterial small subunit ribosomal RNA", at positions 524 to 776 of the family's 1533-position model. The record is from RNAcentral.